RNAcentral lists this ribosomal RNA (253 nucleotides) under uncultured bacterium. RNAcentral's name for it is "partial 16S ribosomal RNA". It matches the Rfam family "Bacterial small subunit ribosomal RNA", at positions 524 to 776 of the family's 1533-position model. The record is from RNAcentral.
UACGGGGGGGGCAAGCGUUGUUCGGAAUUACUGGGCGUAAAGGGCUCGUAGGCGGCCAACUAAGUCGGACGUGAAAUCCCCAGGCUCAACCUGGGAACUGCGUCCGAUACUGGAUGACUUGAAUCCGGGAGAGGGAUGCAGAAUUCCGGGUGUAGCGGUGAAAUGCGUAGAUAUCUGGAGGAAUACCGGUGGCGAAGGCGGCAUCCUGGACCGGCAUUGACGCUGAGGAGCGAAAGCCAGGGGAGCAAACGGG